Molecule: long non-coding RNA, 756 nt
Filed under: Bos taurus (domestic cattle)
Lineage: Eukaryota; Metazoa; Chordata; Mammalia; Artiodactyla; Bovidae
Description: long non-coding RNA NONBTAT004112
Source: RNAcentral
UUCUUAUACCAGAUUUUAUUACAGUCCGAAAUACAAGCUACAUUUUUACAAAGUAGAAAUUCCUUGUGUGAGUGGAAUAAUUUUUACUUCUGCAUAAGCUGAAUAUGCUGAUUUGUUUUAUGUACAUUUAUUUUAUAGAAAUGUCACAUUUCCUCUUAAGUUAACUGACUUAUUGAGGGGAAGGAGGGCGUCAACAAAAAUCUACAUGCAGAUAGCCCCAGUAGCAUAUGCAGAGAGAAAGGUGCAAAUUUAAGUCAACUACGCAAACUUCAGCAAAAAUGUUUUACAAGCAGAGUGAGUUUUGCUGUUUAUAAAAGAAAGCUGAAUUCCUUUUAAGGGCUUUUGUACAUAUAUGCAUGCUCAUAUUUUAUAUGCAUAUACAGGUUUCACUCUGAAAAAGCCCAGUAUGUUAGAAUCAAUUUACAGAACCAGUUUAAGUUAGUAUCGAUUGACUCAACUAAAAGUAAUCAAUUUACAUACAAUUUUUAGGUACUUCCUAUGUAAAGGUAGGUACAUCUAUACAUGCAUUUGCGCAUGUAUUGAUGUAGCCUAACCUGGCAAUAGCUAAUGCUAUUUUCUAAGGUGUUUUGGUUGACUGAACCUUUACCAUGUCUUAAUAGUUUUUAAAUCAAAUAUACAAGAGUCAGUCUUUAUUAGGAUCUAUGUUAUCACCAUAGGUUGAUAAAAAGACCAGUAACAAAGCUAUAAAGAAGUCCCUAGGUUAACCACCAAGUUAUUAAACACCAUUUGUUUUAA